Molecule: unclassified non-coding RNA, 1136 nt
Filed under: Leishmania donovani
Lineage: Eukaryota; Euglenozoa; Kinetoplastea; Trypanosomatida; Trypanosomatidae
Description: gene:LdHU3.36.2330(CDS-product:Peptidase_M76_fami ly_putative)
Source: RNAcentral
GCCCAACACACCCCCAUUAUCCCCGUCGAGGCUCAUAUGGGCUUGCUCUCCUCUUCCUCAUCCUCGUCCUCCUCCGCGGGAACUGGUGCUGGUGCAGCGGCGGCUCAAACAGACGCACAGGAGGUGAAGCGCGUCGACUCGCUCUACAACCCGCACGAUGUCUGCGAGGCCGCCGUAGACUACGUUCUGCGUCACGUGAACACGGUUCAGUACAUGAUUCAGAGCAUUGAAGAGAUCACCGGCAAGCCCUUCCUGCGCGACCGCAUCAAGUGCCUGCCCGCUGUCCCACGUGGUGAGGCCUCCUGCUACUCCGCGAUGGGACUUACCCCAGAUCGGGUGCUUGCGGGGUACAUGUGGCGCAGUGCCCGCCCCGACUGCCAGGCCAAAGAUGUCGUGCUACUGGAGGAUCACAUUGCCCGUCUUUUUAACACAAAGCACGCAGCGGCAUUCUUGAAGAAGGACAAGGCUGUCAACGAGCGCGCGGCCUCGCCACCGACGACAUCGGAUGCCACUGCAGCGGCGGCAUCUUUACCGUCCACAACCGCCACGCAAUCACAGCUGCUUCGCCUCCUCGCGGGAUCGCAGCUGCCGGUGUUGGAGCAGGUUGAGCGCAACAUACGCCACGAGCUUGUCCAUGCCUUCGAUGAUGCUCGGGGUGCGAUUGAAAGCUCCGACUGCGUGCAUCAGGCCUGCAGCGAGAUUCGUGCGGCACGUCUUAGCGGUGACUGUUUUGUCGGCCAAGAGAUGCGGAAGGGGCGCUUCAACUUCUUUGAAGGUGGGCAGAAGUGCGUCCGCCGCCGUGCCGUCAUGGCGGUCGAUCGCAAUCCGGUGUGUCGCGGCUUCUCUGAGCGCGCGGUGGACACGGUGUUUCAGAAGUGCUACUCUGACUACGAGCCCUUCGCAGCACCCAUCUAUGCCCUCGGGAGCUACGGCGACAGCCAGUUUGCAAAUGGCACGCUGAAGCUAUGAGGGAUGUGCGCAGCGCGAGUGCCUUUUGUGGCGUGCUGGUAGACGGGCUGCAGGUAAUGUGUGCGUCUCUCUGUGUGUGUGUGUGUGUGUGUGUGCCUGUGCGAGAGCAUAGGCUUUGUGUGUUCGUGUGUGGUUGUCUCUUGAGCGAACACCGUCGCUUUCUUCGC